CAGUCGCCGCGGUAAAACGAAGGGUGCAAGCGUUAAUCGGAAUUACUGGGCGUAAAGCGUGCGUAGGCGGUUUGUUAAGUCUGCUGUGAAAUCCCCGGGCUCAACCUGGGAAUGGCAGUGGAUACUGGCAAGCUAGAGUGUGUCAGAGGAUGGUGGAAUUCCCGGUGUAGCGGUGAAAUGCGUAGAGAUCGGGAGGAACAUCAGUGGCGAAGGCGGCCAUCUGGGACAACACUGACGCUGAGGCACGAAAGCGUGGGGAGCAAACAGGAUUAGAGACCCCUGUAGUCCCUGUCUCUUAUAC
RNAcentral lists this ribosomal RNA (301 nucleotides) under uncultured bacterium. Its description in RNAcentral is "partial 16S ribosomal RNA". It matches the Rfam family "Bacterial small subunit ribosomal RNA", at positions 509 to 807 of the family's 1533-position model. The record is from RNAcentral.